Molecule: transfer RNA, 74 nt
Filed under: Microscilla marina ATCC 23134
Lineage: Bacteria; Pseudomonadati; Bacteroidota; Cytophagia; Cytophagales; Microscillaceae
Rfam family: tRNA
About the family: Transfer RNA (tRNA) molecules are approximately 80 nucleotides in length.
Source: Rfam by way of RNAcentral
GGACUUGUAGCAUAGUGGCUUAAUGCACCCGACUGUCUAUCGGGAAAUCGUGGGUUCGAAUCCCAUCAAGUCCG